CAGACCAGCUCGCUCACUCUUUUCCUCUUCCAUUUUUUUAGGGCAAUUGUUUUGUUUGAUAGACGAAGCUUAGUUAGGGUCUCUUUGGGUUUGCAACCCGUACCCUCCUGGAAAAAAUCAUAGUUGCUAGACUGCGACACUUCAGACCAGGUACUAUUAGAGCCGCUAAUGGACGACGAGCUAUUUUCCGCUAUCCGGAGCUCAAGCAUUUGAGCCGCUAAAUGGACGAGACUCCUGGGGUAAAGGAUGCAGAGAAUGAGGAGAAAACACUCGUAUGGAGCAGGGAGUAGGUAUUGUACUACUUCCUGGUAUGGAGCACUGAGAAGCGGUGGUGAACUUUUUGAUCGCAAUCGGCCACCACUGCACCAGUACCACAAACGGCGCAGCCGCAUGCCGAAAACGCCCCGUUCGUAAACAUUUCGGAAAGCGAUCCUCCAGUACCCAGUGCAGUACUAGUAGCGCAUAAAAAUGAAGCUGACAUGGAUCAUGGACAGCUAGCCUGCCUGGCUAGCUGGGCGGCCGACCACAAACUGACUGGCGAGUGGCGAGUAGGCAGAUAAUAUUAUGCCUUUAUCACUCUCUUAGUAUUGACUCCCAUUGCUUUUCGAUACCUAAGAAGUCAAAUAUUCCUGCAUAUUUCAUUCCUUAGGGCUAUAUUGACUGCUUAUAUUUGACUGCUUAGGGGUUGCGCAGUUGAACUGUGCCUAGUGCAGCAUUGUCACUGCAUGAGUAGGUGGUGGUGCAACAGUUGUUCAAUCAUAAAACCGGGAUUCAUGAGGUUGUCGUUCUGGAAUUUGAAAUACGGACUGUUUGUCGUGAUAAAUCUAAUAUUGACUUCGUACUUGGUCAGUAUAGGAAAUAAAAAUCUCGUAAAAGACCUCGGCUUCGCCUCGGGCUUUUACUCGGCUUUUAUUUCCUAUAUUGACCUCGUACUCAGUCAAUAUUAGAUACGUAUUCUGUUGACGUCAUCAAACAAGACAAACCAACAAUACAAGGAACGUAACCAUGGAAACUGUUGGUUGCUCCCUAGACUGAAUAUCGUGCUAUCCACUGAGUCUGUCAGUGUCAGUGACUCGGCUUGACACUAGACGCCAGUUGACGGCUUGACGACUGUCAUCCAGGGCACACGCCAUACCCAUUGAGCCUUCGACCGGCAAACGUGCAAGAAAGCACCAGUCCCUGUUCAAUGCACAGUGUUUCGUGGAAUUUAUCUCUCAUCAGUUGAGCUUGAGAAAUACUGCGCUUGAAGAGCACCACUUUCAUCGUGCUCUCCAGGCCAUAACAUCAAGCAUUCAGAGCAUGCAUGGAGACAGAAACGUUAGUCGAGGUACUCCCCGUAAUGGGAUGAUGCCAAUAACGUCUUGAGCUGGACCCUCCACUUUUGCUGGGACCAGAGAAACAUCGAAGUAUGUAAACGCUCGGAGCAGAAUAGCGAAUUGCUGGCAAGCUAACACAAGUCCAGAGCAUGCACUGAGGAAGUAACGUUAGUUGAGGUAUUCCCCGUAAUGCAACAGGCGUGGGAGUGCGAACUGCUAGCACAUAAUCCAUUCACUGGCGGAUGCGACAGAGUUCCAUAUAGCUGGACUGGAGUGUAAUACAGUCUGAAGGGCAGGGCACUCUCAUAAAAGUAUUGAUCCUGCCAGCGGAUCAACAAGGACCAAUCCUCCGGGCGGACGGGAAUUCGGCAGAAUGCACUUUUAACAUUGAGCUUAGCAAGAUACACCGGGGCGAGCACAAUUGUGGAGGAAAUUGUUUGGGAACGCAUGUUCCGCAAGUUGCAUGCUCGAAAGUCGAAAACAGCAAUGACAUGCUAGAGACAUUGUACAGGAUCUUGGAAGGCGCAUGACCAUGUGACUCGCGCAUGCGUGCAGGUCGGGCCAGCUCGCUGGGCUGCCUGCUAACUUGCGUUAGCAUGCUAACGCUCAUUAUGGUUUAGAUCGCAUUAUUGUAAUGGUCGCGGUUUGAUUUCAAAAGACCAUAGAAAGUGCGGAUGGCAACCAACAGGCUCAAGGCUGUGUUGGGACUUCGUGUGCGCGACCUGAGUCAAUUGUUCACUCACCAUGACUAGGCAUCGCAUUGAGCAUCGUUUGACCACUACUAUAUGUCACUGUUCUUAGUCGCACCGGGGGCGCAUGCCCGUUUUCAGGAGACUUAUCAAAACACAUAAGCCCUGUGCCCUGAAGGUUAGGCCUAUUGUUAGUCUGAAUAGUCCUGGCUACUAUCCCGCUAAGUUCAUUGACUUUCUACUGAACCUGUAUGUACGUGAGGAAAGUACUGUUCUGGCCUGAGCUACGGAUUUCAUCAACUUGGUAGAAGGUUUGUCUGUGCGGGACGAUCAUUUAUUUUUGAGUAUAGAUGUGACCAGCCUUAACACCAACAUCCCCAACGAGCUCGGUCACGUGGCAUUGUCGUGGUAUAUCACACACAGGUAUACAAGGUGGAUGCCCCGGCCCUUCGUACACGGUUAACAACAGCAUUGACUUCCUUGAUGUCAGUCAUUCGGAAGACUAACGAGUUCGUGUAUGAUAACGAUUUGUUUCCGCAGAUCCAAGGGACUGCUAUGGGUUCGCCUGCAGCAGUGGUCUAUGCCGACAUUGUUAUGCUGUAUUUGGAGAAUCGGUACAUUUUGCCGAUCUUAGAGGGGGAGGGGUUAGAGGUUCAGGUUUAUAGACGCUUUAUCAGUGACAUUUUUGUUUCAUUGCAUGGUUGCGAAGGUCAAGUUCAGCGCGCUUUAGACAGGAUUAAUAAGUGUUCGGCCCUCGAGUUUGCGCAUGAACUGGCACAUGAUGACAUUGAUUUCCUGGACACCACAGUUUCCCGUAGUAAGAGAUACAUGGCGGUGAAGCCUCAUUUCAAGGUCACCAAUCGUUUCCUGUAUCUGCUUGCCGGUAGUGACCACCCACGUAGUAUGGGUAAAGGUGUGAUCACUGGGGAGUUGAUCCGUAUCCGUCGGUCUUCGACCCUUGACCACCACUACGAAGCUGCUGCCGAGCAGCCGAAGCAGGCUUUCCGGGCCCGUGUAUACAAGAGCUCCAUCUUUCAUCUUUCAGACCGUACACCAGGCAUGCAAGGCCGGGCCGCCCCACUUUUUUGGCCGUUUUUUGUUCUUGUUUUUUUAGCACACUGCAACAAAGCGCGAUGAUCGCAGCUCAGCUCAAACGUGGCAAAUAAUGAAGAAUCCUUGUCCCCGAUCCCCGAUCCCGUCCCCGAUCCCCAUCCCCGAUCCCCGUGGUUUGUUACAGAAUAAAAGAGUCUUGCACCAAAUGCCCGGAAAUGCUUGCAAUUGGCUUCAGUUUUUGACAUUUUUACCGCGGAGGGCCCCCGGACCCCCUUGCAUGGCCGCCCCACCUCCAAAGUCGGUGCGACGGGCCUGGCAUGGAUGCGCAGGGAAGGUAUGUUGGUCAGAUUGGCAUGGGUUUGGGUUAUUUGAACUUAUUUCUGUAGUUGUAUACAGUGUUCCUCAUUGUAUUUACCUGGGCCCGGCCUGCUGUCCUUCGCCCGUUGGUCUUGAGGUCCAGGUGUAAUAUCCCUACCAUACAGUCCGGUGGCCAGCGCGGCCCGGCAAAUUGUUGUUACAAGGUGGAACAUCGGCAAGAGAUUGCUUGCUCGUUUGCCUCAUGCUCAGUGUCCUCAGGGAGUUGGUAUUUUGCUUCUGUUUGGAUUUUGCAGUGUCUAUGGUGUCCGUAAUUGAGUUUUUGUUCUGUGUCUUUUUCUGUGGUGUGUGGUCAUUGUUCACACAUCUUUAUUUGACUUGCUUCCUGGUGUGGUGUAUCCUUUUGUUUUAUCAUUGGUGCUGGUCUGGCUGUAGAGUUCUAGCAUCCGUAGCUGCCUCAGGGGUGCCACUUUUCCCAUCAGCGUCGACUAGUCCGUAGGAAAGGACCAACCAAACUGCAUCCAACCAUUGGUCUUGCCGAAAAGAAAUUAUGGCCAUUGCAUUCUUCUUACGGCAAAAACUUUAACUUGUUUGCUGGCUAAAGCUGAGUCUGGCAAUUACAUGUUAAAACUAGCAAUGUGCUGUCUGAACAAUAAAAAAAUUCAGACAGCACAUUGCUGCCCUGCCCUGCCCUGCCCUGCCCUGGCCCCUGUAGGUAAGAACUGCACAGCACUGACAGCGCCUUUCAACGGCAAGGUGACCGGAACAGGUGUCACGCCCGGCACUGGUCUCUUCUUCGCCUGCAAUGUACCCUACGUACUCCAGGGCAGCGUCGUGCGCUACUGCGACGUCUCCGGAACGUGGAGCAGCGUUCCUGCUACAUGCUCAAUCCCUGAUAUUCCCUGCAAGUACCACGAGUUCAAGUGCGGUGGCAGUGGUGGUUGCAUCUCAACCACCAAGGUCUGCGACGGUGUGUGGUAUGACUGCCCGGAUGGCUCCGACGAGAGCAACCACACUAGCACACGCGGCACUGCAGCACCAGACUCCACCAAAUGGCUACAUCCAGGGAGCCAGCAUGACCAGCUAUGGCAGCCAGAUUGCGUUUGGCUGCUACUAGCUAUACUUUCUCCAGGGACCUGCCACCCACACCUGCCAGCUGAGUGGCAAGUGGGAUGGUGUACCACCCGUCUGCACAUUGGUCUCACUUGCAAGAGUGGCUUCUAGCCAUAUUAUCGUGAUGGUACCUGCCUGGCCUCUUCCAAGUUCUGCAAUGGCAUUUUCUUUGAGUGUCCCGACAAGACAGACGAAUAUCAAUGCGGCACGACUGGACCCGGUGUGUGCACACCGCUAGCUAAACCGACCAACAGCUACUCCCAGGGCACAAACUAUUCUGCUGGAGGCAGCGUCGUCUUCGGCUGAAAUUCCGGAUACAACCUGCAGGGAAGCAUUGUGCGCAUCUGCCAGAUUGACGGUUCCUGGAGUGGGGCAGCUGCCUUCUGUAAUCUGCCAGUCUGGCUACCUGCCCUGCCUGCGUUCCAGUGGCUGUAUCCUGCCAUCACAGCGCUGCGACGGUGUUUGGUACGACUGUGCUGAUGGCUCUGAUGCACAGUACUGCCCAGGCAAGGUCACACCAGCUCCAGGUCAAACCGACUGCCGGGCCCUGUCACCACCGGCACUGGGCUCAAUGACCGUGAACGGCUUGAUGUUCAGCAACACGACCACGUUUGUGUGCACAUCUUCCUAUGUCCUUUUGGGCGUGCUUGUGAAAUCAACGGUCAGUGGAGCAGUGUGCAGCCAACUUGCGUCCUGACGACUGCUGCUCUGAGUGCGGCCAGUGACGAGCUAGUCAAGGACUCCGUCUCAGAACGCAUGACACAAACAUGUUAGCUCCCGCUCCAUGCCCAUUGUUGGAGCGACAGUCCUGGAGUCCAGAGUUGCAAGUGAGAUGGUGAUACGGCAAGCAGACGGUGGCAAAGGACGGCUUAAAAGCUCUACAUCUGGCAAGUGGCCGGCAUACCACACCAAUGGACAUCGGACCAGUACACGUAGAGUAGCAUCUCUACGUGACAGGGUAUGAGCGCAAGCCAGUAUUGCCAAGCACUGGGGACCUUUGGCAAUCUGAAGAAUGUUUUGUCCGAGAAUCGAUCCUUGGAUCUGUGGCGUUGCAGUUGUGGUGCUCCCGACCCUCUUGCGCGAUGGCCGCGGAGACUUGGCGAAAAGGUUCGAGACAUACGGCAUCUCAAUAUCUUCCACCACAAUCAGUACAUCAGCACCACCAUCGAGCGUAGCGACAUCAGCAAUAGAAGACGCACAUGAUAUCAUUCCCCCUUAGCGAAGACCUGGGAAUACCUGAGAAGAUGUUAGCCUCGACUUUACUGGAAAAGUCGUCGGUGACAACGGCACUCCAUAUUUUAUCUGCAUGCAGAUAGGUCUCUCAACAAGUGUACCCAACAAGUGUACCCAAAGUUUUCAAGCUAAUACACAAGCAAAUUCACUAGGGUCCGAGUAUAUUUUCCUACACCUCUCCCAGUUUGUUGUUGUUAUUUCUGCAUUCAAAUUGUUUGUGUACCUGUACAUUUAUUACAGUAGAGCCACGCAUCCACGACUGUUGUUUCCAAGGGGUCAGGCUCGUCAGUUAUACAAGACCUUUCAGCAAUCUGGCCUUAGGCUUAGUUCCUUGACUUCUUGUACCACUUUCUUAGAUGCACAUCCCACUGGAUAGUGAGCAAUACGUGUGUAGCAGAAUCUGUAUUCCAGAAAAGCAGAGACUCGUCGAGUCUAUUGACACUGCGUUUCUUUUUAAAACGUUAUUGGCUGUGGUGUUCCUAGAGGUAUACACGUACAUUCCUGGGUCACGGUCUGUGACGCCCGACUGUAUUCGUGGUGCAUCAACAAUUUUUAAUUUUGUGCACUCGUGAACCUGCCUGAGGCUGUGAGGCUGCAGAGUGUUGCCUGUGUUUUGCUUAAGAAAAACCAUCAGGUCUCCCCAGA
Molecule: RNA transcript, 6364 nt
Organism: Sycon ciliatum
Lineage: Eukaryota; Metazoa; Porifera; Calcarea; Leucosolenida; Sycettidae
Gene name: CUB and sushi domain-containing protein 3-like
Exons: 11
Source: RefSeq, a predicted model, not a curated record